Aegilops tauschii subsp. strangulata is the source of this 250-nucleotide non-coding RNA. The record is from RefSeq and is a predicted model, not a curated record. Lineage: Eukaryota; Viridiplantae; Streptophyta; Magnoliopsida; Poales; Poaceae.
CUACUGCUUCAGGUGGACGAGGACGAGCCCUCCCUCAUUGCUACUGCGGCUGCCUACUCCCUCCUCCUACCCCCUAGCCUGGUGUGAGUGGUGGAGUUAAUGAGCCGGGAUGAAGUUCGAGAAGUUGCAUUACACCGUGUAAAUAUUAAUGAGCUGUGGAAGACAAGUGCACCGGGAAGUAAACCACUGUCUUUUGAUAGGGAUUUCUGGAGGUAACAUGCCUCUGAUUGUAUGCACUGAAUUUCAGAUG